GAGUUUGAUCCUGGCUCAGGAUGAACGCUGGCGGCGUGCCUAAUACAUGCAAGUCGAGCGAACGGACGAGAAGCUUGCUUCUCUGAUGUUAGCGGCGGACGGGUGAGUAACACGUGGAUAACCUACCUAUAAGACUGGGAUAACUUCGGGAAACCGGAGCUAAUACCGGAUAAUAUUUUGAACCGCAUGGUUCAAAAGUGAAAGACGGUCUUGCUGUCACUUAUAGAUGGAUCCGCGCUGCAUUAGCUAGUUGGUAAGGUAACGGCUUACCAAGGCAACGAUGCAUAGCCGACCUGAGAGGGUGAUCGGCCACACUGGAACUGAGACACGGUCCAGACUCCUACGGGAGGCAGCAGUAGGGAAUCUUCCGCAAUGGGCGAAAGCCUGACGGAGCAACGCCGCGUGAGUGAUGAAGGUCUUCGGAUCGUAAAACUCUGUUAUUAGGGAAGAACAUAUGUGUAAGUAACUGUGCACAUCUUGACGGUACCUAAUCAGAAAGCCACGGCUAACUACGUGCCAGCAGCCGCGGUAAUACGUAGGUGGCAAGCGUUAUCCGGAAUUAUUGGGCGUAAAGCGCGCGUAGGCGGUUUUUUAAGUCUGAUGUGAAAGCCCACGGCUCAACCGUGGAGGGUCAUUGGAAACUGGAAAACUUGAGUGCAGAAGAGGAAAGUGGAAUUCCAUGUGUAGCGGUGAAAUGCGCAGAGAUAUGGAGGAACACCAGUGGCGAAGGCGACUUUCUGGUCUGUAACUGACGCUGAUGUGCGAAAGCGUGGGGAUCAAACAGGAUUAGAUACCCUGGUAGUCCACGCCGUAAACGAUGAGUGCUAAGUGUUAGGGGGUUUCCGCCCCUUAGUGCUGCAGCUAACGCAUUAAGCACUCCGCCUGGGGAGUACGACCGCAAGGUUGAAACUCAAGGAAUUGACGGGACCCGCACAAGCGGUGGAGCAUGUGGUUUAAUUCGAAGCAACGCGAAGAACCUUACCAAAUCUUGACAUCCUUUGACAACUCUAGAGAUAGAGCCUUCCCCUUCGGGGGACAAAGUGACAGGUGGUGCAUGGUUGUCGUCAGCUCGUGUCGUGAGAUGUUGGGUUAAGUCCCGCAACGAGCGCAACCCUUAAGCUUAGUUGCCAUCAUUAAGUUGGGCACUCUAAGUUGACUGCCGGUGACAAACCGGAGGAAGGUGGGGAUGACGUCAAAUCAUCAUGCCCCUUAUGAUUUGGGCUACACACGUGCUACAAUGGACAAUACAAAGGGCAGCGAAACCGCGAGGUCAAGCAAAUCCCAUAAAGUUGUUCUCAGUUCGGAUUGUAGUCUGCAACUCGACUACAUGAAGCUGGAAUCGCUAGUAAUCGUAGAUCAGCAUGCUACGGUGAAUACGUUCCCGGGUCUUGUACACACCGCCCGUCACACCACGAGAGUUUGUAACACCCGAAGCCGGUGGAGUAACCUUUUAGGAGCUAGCCGUCGAAGGUGGGACAAAUGAUUGGGGUGAAGUCGUAACAAGGUAGCCGUAUCGGAAGGUGCGGCUGGAUCACC
Molecule: ribosomal RNA, 1536 nt
Filed under: Staphylococcus aureus subsp. aureus CIG1242
Lineage: Bacteria; Bacillati; Bacillota; Bacilli; Caryophanales; Staphylococcaceae
Description: 16S ribosomal RNA
Rfam family: Bacterial small subunit ribosomal RNA
Source: RNAcentral